UAGCUGGUCUGAGAGGAUGAUCAGCCUCACUGGGACUGAGACACGGCCCAGACUCCUACGGGAGGCAGCAGUGGGGAAUAUUGGACAAUGGGCGCAAGCCUGAUCCAGCCAUGCCGCGUGGGUGAUGAAGGCCCUAGGGUUGUAAAGCCCUUUCGGCGGGGAAGAUAAUGACGGUACCCGCAGAAGAAGCCCCGGCUAACUUCGUGCCAGCAGCCGCGGUAAUACGAAGGGGGCUAGCGUUGCUCGGAAUCACUGGGCGUAAAGCGCACGUAGGCGGCUUUUUAAGUCAGGGGUGAAAUCCUGGAGCUCAACUCCAGAACUGCCCUUGAUACUGAGAAGCUUGAGUCCGGGAGAGGUGAGUGGAACUGCGAGUGUAGAGGUGAAAUUCGUAGAUAUUCGCAAGAACACCAGUGGCGAAGGCGGCUCACUGGCCCGGUACUGACGCUGAGGUGCGAAAGCGUGGGGGGCAAACAGGAUUAGAUACCCUGGUAGUCCACGCCGUAAACGAUGGAUGCUAGCCGUUGGCAGGCUCGCCUGUCAGUGGCGCAGCUAACGCAUUAAGCAUCCCGCCUGGGGAGUACGGUCGCAAGAUUAAAACUCAAAGGAAUUGACGGGGGCCCGCACAAGCGGUGGAGCAUGUGGUUCAAUUCGAAGCAACGCGCAGAACCUUACCAGCCUUUGACAUCCCGGUCGCGGACAUCAGAGAUGAAGUCCUUCAGUUCGGCUGGACCGGUGACAGGUGCUGCAUGGCUGUCGUCAGCUCGUGUCGUGAGAUGUUGGUUAAGUCCCGCAACGAGCGCAACCCUCGCCCUUAGUUGCCAUCAUUCAGUUGGGCACUCUAAGGGGACUGCCGGUGAUAAGCCGCGUGGAAGGUGGGGAUGACGUCAAGUCCUCAUGGCCCUUACAGGCUGGGCUACACACGUGCUACAAUGGCGGUGACAAUGGGAUGCAAUGGAGCAAUCCUGCGCAAAUCUCAAAAAGCCGUCUCAGUUCGGAUUGGGGUCUGCAACUCGACCCCAUGAAGUUGGAAUCGCUAGUAAUCGCAGAUCAGCACGCUGCGGUGAAUACGUUCCCGGGCCUUGUACACACCCCCGUCACACCAUGGGAGUUGGCUUUACCUGAAGACGGUGCGCUAACCGCAAGGAGGCAGCCGGCCACGGUAGGGUCAGCGACUGGGGUCAAGUCGGAACAAGGUAGCCGUAGGGGAACCUGCGGCUG
RNAcentral lists this ribosomal RNA (1218 nucleotides) under metagenome. Its description in RNAcentral is "bacterial SSU rRNA". It matches the Rfam family "Bacterial small subunit ribosomal RNA", at positions 284 to 1520 of the family's 1533-position model. The record is from RNAcentral.